GUAGGGAAUAUUGGGCAAUGGAUGCAAGUCUGACCCAGCCAUCCCGCGUGCCGGAAGAAGGCCCUCAGGGUUGUAAACGGCUUUUGACGGUGAAGAAUCGACAGGAUGCGUCCUGUUUUGACGGUAGCCGUUGAAUAAGCACCGGCUAACUCCGUGCCAGCAGCCGCGGUAAUACGGAGGGUGCGAGCGUUGUCCGGAUUUAUUGGGUUUAAAGGGUGCGUAGGCUGGAAGGUCAGUCAGCGGUGAAAAGCUGUCGCUUAACGAUAGUCUUGCCGCAGAUACUUCCUUUCUUGGAGGAGGAGGAGGCCACUGGAACGGAUGGUGUAGCGGUGAAAUGCAUAGAUAUCAUCCAGAACACCGAUUGCGAAGGCAGGUGGCUGUACCUUAAUCGACGCUGAUGCACGAAAGCAUGGGGAGCAAACAGGAUUAGAUACCCCUGUAGUCC
Molecule: ribosomal RNA, 445 nt
Filed under: uncultured bacterium
Lineage: Bacteria
Description: partial 16S ribosomal RNA
Rfam family: Bacterial small subunit ribosomal RNA
Source: RNAcentral